RNAcentral lists this ribosomal RNA (492 nucleotides) under uncultured bacterium. Its description in RNAcentral is "partial 16S ribosomal RNA". It matches the Rfam family "Bacterial small subunit ribosomal RNA", at positions 29 to 507 of the family's 1533-position model. The record is from RNAcentral.
AGUGAACGCUGGCGGUAGGCCUAACACAUGCAAGUCGAACGGCAGCACAGUAAGAGCUUGCUCUUACGGGUGGCGAGUGGCGGACGGGUGAGGAAUACAUCGGAAUCUACUUUUUCGUGGGGGAUAACGUAGGGAAACUUACGCUAAUACCGCAUACGACCAACGGGUGAAAGCAGGGGAUCUUCGGACCUUGCGCGAUUGAAUGAGCCGAUGUCGGAUUAGCUAGUUGGCGGGGUAAAGGCCCACCAAGGCAACGAUCCGUAGCUGGUCUGAGAGGAUGAUCAGCCACACUGGAACUGAGACACGGUCCAGACUCCUACGGGAGGCAGCAGUGGGGAAUAUUGGACAAUGGGCGCAAGCCUGAUCCAGCCAUACCGCGUGGGUGAAGAAGGCCUUCGGGUUGUAAAGCCCUUUUGUUGGGAAAGAAAAGCAGCAGGUUAAUACCCCGCUGUUCUGACGGUACCCAAAGAAUAAGCACCGGCUAACUUCGUG